This 479-nucleotide ribosomal RNA is filed under the name uncultured bacterium. RNAcentral's name for it is "bacterial SSU rRNA". It matches the Rfam family "Bacterial small subunit ribosomal RNA", at positions 28 to 524 of the family's 1533-position model. The record is from RNAcentral.
GACGAACGCUGGCGGCGUGCUUAACACAUGCAAGUCGAGCGGUAAGGCCCUUCGGGGUACACGAGCGGCGAACGGGUGAGUAACACGUGGGUAACCUGCCCCGUACUCUGGGAUAAGCCUGGGAAACUAGGUCUAAUACCGGAUAUGACUUCCACGGGCAUCCGUGGUGGUGGAAAGUUCCGGCGGUACGGGAUGGACCCGCGGCCUAUCAGCUUGUUGGUGGGGUAAUGGCCUACCAAGGCGACGACGGGUAGCCGGCCUGAGAGGGUGACCGGCCACACUGGGACUGAGACACGGCCCAGACUCCUACGGGAGGCAGCAGUGGGGAAUAUUGCACAAUGGGCGAAAGCCUGAUGCAGCGACGCCGCGUGAGGGAUGACGGCCUUCGGGUUGUAAACCUCUUUCAGCAGGGACGAAGCGCGAGUGACGGUACCUGCAGAAGAAGCACCGGCUAACUACGUGCCAGCCGCCGCGGUAAU